UACGAAGGGACCUAGCGUAGUUCGGAAUUACUGGGCUUAAAGAGUUCGUAGGUGGUUGAAAAAGUUAGUGGUGAAAUCCCAGAGCUUAACUCUGGAACUGCCAUUAAAACUUUUCAGCUAGAGUAUGAUAGAGGAAAGCAGAAUUUCUAGUGUAGAGGUGAAAUUCGUAGAUAUUAGAAAGAAUACCAAUUGCGAAGGCAGCUUUCUGGAUCAUUACUGACACUGAGGAACGAAAGCAUGGGUAGCGAAGAGGAUUAGAUACCCUCGUAGUCCAUGCCGUAAACGAUGUGUGUUAGACGUUGGAAAUUUAUUUUCAGUGUCGCAGCGAAAGCGAUAAACACACCGCCUGGGGAGUACGACCGCAAGGUUAAAACUCAAAUGAAUUGACGGGGACCCGCACAAGUAGUGGAGCAUGCGGUUUAAUUCGAAGAUACGCGCAGAACCUUACCAACACUUGACAUGUUCGUCGCGACUCUAAGAGAUUAGAGUUUUCGGUUCGGCCGGACGAAACACAGGUGCCGCAUGGCUGUCGUCAGCUCGUGUCGUGAGAUGUUGGGUUAAGUCCCGCAACGAGCGCAACCCUCACUUUUAGUUGCCAUCAUUAAGUUGGGCACUCUGAAAGAACUGCCAGUGAUAAGCUGGAGGAAGGUGGGGAUGACGUCAAGUCCUCAUGGCCCUUACGUGUUGGGCUACACACGUGCUACAAUGGUAUCUACAACAGGAAGCAAGACUGCGAGGUCAAGCAAAUCCUUAAAAGAUACCUCAGUUCGGAUUGCACUCUGCAACUCGAGUGCAUGAAGCUGGAAUUACUAGUAAUCGUGGAUCAGCGUGCCACGGUGAAUGCGUUCCCGGGUCU
This 856-nucleotide ribosomal RNA is filed under the name uncultured bacterium. Its description in RNAcentral is "SSU rRNA". It matches the Rfam family "Bacterial small subunit ribosomal RNA", at positions 524 to 1381 of the family's 1533-position model. The record is from RNAcentral.